Molecule: long non-coding RNA, 1073 nt
Filed under: Mus spicilegus (steppe mouse)
Lineage: Eukaryota; Metazoa; Chordata; Mammalia; Rodentia; Muridae
Description: lncRNA (ENSMSIG00000020214.1)
Source: RNAcentral
AGAAGCGCUAUCCGAGAACCCUAUGAUGCUCGAAAAUAGCUGCAAGAGAAGUACAGCAACUUCAGCAAUUACCAACAAUACAUGUUUUCUAUAAAGCAAGCUAUGAACCAUCUUGUUUAAUUCUCUUAGAGGUUCAUAAGGUAAGCCUCAGAAUUAAGCCGACUUUUUCCCCAUAGGAAAAUCCACAGAUUUUUCUAAGUUUUAAGCCUGUUCUUUAAGCUUAUGCAGGUGGUAAGAGAGACCUGAAAUUCUCCCAAAGAUUAUCAACAUGAAUCUGUCAGUUAUUGUGCUAGUACUUGCUACAUAUUGGUAAUGGUUGUGCAUUCUUGCCGUUCUUUGGGUGACCAAUGUCCUCAGUCUGGCCAAUUAGUUACGUGUGACUUAAAAGCAAGUUAUUAAAUUAUUCCCCUUUGCUAGGUUCCCUCACCUCUCCCCUCCCCACUCCAUCGCCCUCCCCCUCCAUUACCAUAUCUCUCUUAGAUUAGAAGCAAAGGCCCUGGUGGAAUUCAUUAGCAUGGAACAAGGAAGCCAUGCUGAUGGAGCUCUGUUGCAUGCUCUACAUUCUUUAGCCCUGCAGUCAGGAUAACACUGGUUAGAGAGCCCCACCAAUACCUGAGAGGACUAACGAGUCGCUUUGUCAUAGAUAACUGUAUUGUGUGUCUGAAUGUACAAGUCUGUGUUGUUUUUUUCCUAUUAUUAUGUGAUAUUUCAUGUUGACUUGUCAAACUGAAAAAUGCCCAUAUUGAUUUUGCAGAAAGCCUCACGUGUGAAAUAAAUGCACUCAAAGACGCUUCACAAGUAGCACUUUGGAGCUUCAGAUGUGAAAUGGAUCAUUCCUCAAUCUGUAAUAAACCCUUCUGUGAAGCUCUUCAAUCAAACCUGAGAAGUCAAGAGCCUUGUAAACUGCAAUUUGUACGCUGGUAAGAAAAACCUGGCAGAGGAGUUAGGAUGCCAUUACCAUUUGAAAAGAGGCAAUCAUAAGGCGCUUCUGAGCCCUUUGUCCACUGAAAAUGCUGAUUUGCAGGCGGUGAGUGAAAAAGUGGAACUGCCACUGAAUAAAACCUUGAGCUAGG